RNAcentral lists this long non-coding RNA (5964 nucleotides) under Cricetulus griseus (Chinese hamster). RNAcentral describes it as "lncRNA (ENSCGRG00015038047.1)". The record is from RNAcentral. Lineage: Eukaryota; Metazoa; Chordata; Mammalia; Rodentia; Cricetidae.
CUGAGUGGUGUCACACCUGACCUCAUCUAGUCCUCUGGUUUGGUCAGUCAUAACCAGAGGAAACUUCCUAUUUGGAAAACCCUGGCUUCUCAAUGGAUGCAUAAACCAGCAUGCUGCACAAAAAGCAACAGUGCAAAAAGCUGGGUUUCCAGCAACUGUGUGAACAGACACCACCUAACCCCUGCUUCCUGCCAGGUAAUCUGCUGUAUCCUAUGGCUGUAGUGUGAUUUAAAGGUGGCUUUGAGGACAACUGGCAAAGGUAGGUUCCAAAUUCAAGACGUAAGGACUGCUAGGGAAAGGACACACAUUGUAGGUAUCAGGCUAUUACAUUCAAGUCAGCAGAAGCAUAGGGAAAUGUCAAACACCCAAUGAGAUCUCUCACCAAUUAUCCAGGGAGGGGAGGCUAGCACCUAGGAAGGAAGAAAGCAUGGAAGAGACCUCAGCUUCUUCAGCCCACCGACAACACUGCUUCCACGGUUUAUGCUCUUUAUGAUACAAGCAGUACAGGCUCACGUUAAGCUUUUAAAAGAUGCUUUUAUUUAUUUUGUAGUAUGUGCAUUACAGGAAACAAAACACAAGAAGCCAAGAACAGUCUCCCAGUCAUAAGCGCUCAGCUUGCUGUGUCCUUCUAGAUGCUGUAAUGUACACACAUUUAGGGAAUUGAGAUUAUACAAUUAUGUAUCAAGCUUUCCCCCACACACACAUUGUGAAUAUUCACCAACUAAAACCCCCAACGCUACAUGAGUAUUUUGAUAACCAAGAACACACCACGCCAUCUCAAUCUGUCAGACAAGACUGUAAUCCUGUCUUCCUUGGCAACAAAAAUUUCAUAGAAGACAAAAAUGGCAGCAGGGCUUCUAGAUAGAAAUACUGGCGAAGUUACAAUUAAAAUUCUGCAUUCCCUCAAUGCUCAGCUUAUAAGGAAACACAAAGCAACAGACCAACUAAGUACAGCAUUCCUAAGAUCUAUAUAGUAAAUAUGAAGGUGUUCCUGCUCAAUAAAUGUAUUCCUAUGGAGCACUUUAGAUGCGCCUACGGCAGGGGUCCUCAGGAUGUCAAUGUCAACACAGCACAGCGCCGUAGAUCUCGCCCUGUGAACCUCUCUGCCUCUCCAGUCAGUCUAACAACAUGAAUUAACUCACACUGUCCAGACAUGGCGUAACAAUUCAAGAGGCACCUUUUCUGUCAAUCUAUGAAGCUAUACUUUUAACCAUAUGCUCUCCUUUAGGACAUUCAUGAAGUUCAGAUGUUGUGGGAUGAACUUUGUACACAAUAAACACAAGUAUCUGCACAUACGGAUCCCUGGGUACAGCUGUUUUCUAGAUGUGGUGGUCCUAGCAAAGAGCUCUUCCUUCAUCCGUCCUCUUCUCUGCACAACUCCUGUCCAGGAUGCUGCCAGUCUUACAAAGGUCACCCCCAGAAGACAGCCCUUCUUUUGGGCACUGGAACUUAUUCUCUAAUACUUGGCAACAUUCACCAUUAACUGAAAUGCACACAGGAACAGUGGCUAGGCCGGUGGAACCAACCAACGGGCAGCGCCUUGCCCUGCACUAUUCUUUCUCCUAUUCGCCUCCACCAGGUAACAGUAUCUGCUCAAAGACAAAGCUUACCAAUUCCACACCCCCCAUAACCAUUCCUAUGAAAUAAUAAUCCUUAAAAGGUGUUAACUCUCUAUUUUUACCAUGUGCAUUUUUUACAUUAAUUAGUACAUGUGGGCACAUGCAUGCCACUUGUAUAAGGCUAUAAGACAAUUUGUGAAUCACUUUUCUCCUUUCAUCAUGGGGAUCCUGGCAAGCAGACUCAGGCCACCAGCUGGGUGACAAGCCCCUUUAUCUGCUGGGCCAUCCCAACAGUCCAUUAUGCACAUUUUCUUACUGUUUUGAGACAAAGUCUGUGUAGCCCUGGCUGGCCUGGAACUCACAAGAUCCACCUGCCUCAACCUAGGAUUAAAGGUAUGCAUUACCGCACCAAAUCUAUUAUGCACUUUAAAGUCUAAAGACUAGAUGUUUCCACUAACACUUCUGUUUCCCCAGCAUAUGUACAAUGCAGUGCAGUAAAUAAACUGCACACACCUAUAAAUAGCAACCUUCUGGUCUAGAACCUCUCCCCAUCUCUCUUAACCCAGUUUAUGUAACUUAUGUUUUUUUUUUUUUUGUGGGGAUAUUAACAAUUUCACGUCCUAAAUGGUUUUGAGUUUUUUCCUAUGAAUUUUCACAACUUUAAAAUAUGUCUUUUCACUAACUCUACUUUGUCACACACUGGCAGCCUCUUCUCCAUCUAGGAAGACUAAGUGCUGCAUAUUUGGAUUUGGUUGUCUUACCAUACACCACACAUUGCAAAAAUAAGAUACACAGAUAAAAGGGACAAUGGCUAAUCUUCAUUACCAAAACUUACAUUAGUAUUAGGCCCUUCAUAACUCUUUCUUCCUCCCUCCCAAACCAGCACACGUCAUAUUGCUCAGAAGUGAUUUUAGCAUUCCAUUUCCAAAAGACAUUUCACCACGAGUUUAAACAGAAUAAUGUACAGAAUAAUCUACAACAAGUAUUAUUUACUACGUCUACCUUUAACAUACUUUGUGCACUUCUAAACACCUAGAAGGACUAGAUGUUUCAGAUGAGGACAUAAAUGUGUCCCCUAUAUACAGAGUAGUGUUGAAACCACACACAUGUAACAAUGAGUAGAUCUCAAAGUGUCUUCUGCUGAGAGCAUUCUGGGCUCCCACCUCCUUUCUCUCCAGCCCCUCCCCUGUAUCAUGUGACACAGGCACCUGAUACUUUCACCACUCCUUUCAGAAGACAACCUUGCUAUGACUUUUAAUACAGAGUAUAUAGAAUGGGCUAGUUUACCGACUCUACUUUUGCCAUACACUGGCAACCUCUUUAAUACCUAGAAACUAAAAUCAGGACUCCUUUGUCCAGUAUGUACAAUAUAUACAGUAUAGCAAAGUUAAAUGAAGUAUAUACAGGGGGUGAUGGGUAAGCUAAAACUAUCUAGCACACUAAUGGAAUCUUUUUGCAGUUUCUUCCCCCCCACCUCCUCAAUCCACUGAACAAGUACAGCUGGUACUGUUCUCAGAGGUGGGUUAGCAAUUCUACUCUAAACAUAGUAUCUCCAGUUUUUCAAAAUUUAUUUACAUGAAGUUUUAUUCUACUACUUCUACUUUUAAAUGUAAACUUAUCUGCUAUUCACACCGCACUAGUAAAUAAAACUAUGUAAAGCAAUGGUUAUUAUCUGAGGUAUCUUCUAAACGUAACCAUCUGGGCUUUGACCCACUUUCUUCUUUUCUCCCUUCUGUCUGCCUUCAAACCAGUAGACAAAUAUAGGCAUAUGCAAUGCUUAGAAAUUGCUGAACAAAUUCAUAUCCCCAAAUCAUUUACACGGCAAUCUUUCCUAUAAAUUUUAACAGUGUACACAAUGUGCUAAUUUUGUCAUACACUGGCAACCUCUUUAACAUUUAGCGAGUAGAAGCUGACAUGUCCAUUAUAUACAGUAUACACAGAGCAAAACAAAAUGCAAAUAUAUAGAAGUGGCAUCUGAAAAGGUCCCAUAUAAAAAACACUACCUCGAUGUCUCCCAGCGCUUCCUCCAGAGCACUGAGCAAGUACAGGCAGUACUGCUCAUAGAGGUGCUCAUAAUUCUACUCCCAAAGACAGUGUUUCAUGAAUUUUAGCAAAAAGAUAUUUACAAAGUGAUAUUUCACUACCUCUACAUUUAACAUACGUUGGGCACUUCUAAACAUCUGGAUAGACCAGAUGUUUCAAGUAAGGACUGUUGUCCACUAUGUACACAGCAGUCCAGUAAACAGCACACAUGGAACAAGAGUAAUAAUUAAAAAAUUUUUUAACACAAAAAGAAAAAUUUUAACACAAAAGUACAAAAUAUUGUUCUACUACCUCUACUUUGUCAUACACUGGCAACCUCUUUAACAUCUAGAGUGACUAGAUGCUGUGAAUAGGACCCCUUUGUCCUUUAUAUAUACUAUGUACACAGCAAAGCCAAACGAAAUGGGACAGUGGGUUUUUUCCACCCAUGGAGCACAAUGACUUAGAGCUCUACAUUUCCUUCUCCUGGAAACCAGGGAACAAACACAAUGUGGUCACCUCAGGAGGGCUUUGGCUAUUCCUCCCCAAACAAUAUUUCAAAUGAAUCCUAACAAAAACGUAUUUACAUAAUGUAUUGUUUUACUACUACUAAUAAAAUAUGUCAGGCACUUUAGAGUAUCUAGAAAGAUAUUUCCCCAAAAAUACUUGGCAUUGUCAAACACACACCACACCACACCACACCCACACACGCAGGCACAUACACACACGGGGGAGGGGGGGUGUUGAAAUGAAUAAAAUGCAUACACAAUGCAAUAGAAUACAAAAGAAGACGUCUUCACACGACCAAUCUGGCUCCGGACCUCCUCUUCCUCCUGCUGGGUCCUCUAACCUAUUGAACAAACUAGGACGAGUGUCGCUCCUGGGGUCUUUUCUAGAGGUGGCUUAAACAAUUCCAUUGCAAAGUCACUUCUGGAAGACACGUCUACGAUGUUUCUAAAGACGACUGGAUACACACAUGUGAUGUCCUACCUCUACUUUACCCUGCGUCGGCAAUCUCUACAGCUAGCUGGAUGUCCAGAUUUCGCCAAAGGUCUCUAUAAAGGGUCGGGGGAAAGGUUGAGAGCAGCUUUUCCAUAUUAUAUACAAGGCCUUCUACGGCGGCGGCUGCGUCUUCGCCAGCCUUUCCGACUGGCCGCAAGCGAUGUCACGUCCCGGCUUCUCUCGGGUGGAAGGAGGACCCGCGCCCCCACGAUCCGUCGAUCCUCGGGCUGCUAUGCGUUCCUCCAGGACCGUGGGGACCUCUGUCGAUCCAGGUCUAAGGGCUCGACAACCGGGCGGGUCCCUCGCAGCGAAGGCCGAGUGCUCUGCGCAGAUCCGCCGCCUCAGGCUGCAGAGGCCCCGAAGAGCCAACCUUGGCCUUCGGGUGGCCACCAUUCUUCCCGCCACGCCACGCCCGCCCGCCGACUCCAGGGAGGGGUCCUCGAAGGCCGGCUGGGGGCUUCUGCAUGGCCCGGCCCCGGGGAGCAGGGGUCCGGCGGGGUCGAGGAGGCCUCGCGCAGAGGGCGCCGCCAUCGCGGCGCUUCGUUGGCGGAGGAAGAGUCGCUGUCGGGUCGCGGAUCGGCCGGGCCGGCGCCGCUGGGAGGGCUCGGGCUCCUGGGGUCCGCAGGACGUAGACCGGAGCUGCCCCCGGGCCCCCCGGCUCACCCGGCGCAGGCCGGAGGCGGUGGGGGGCCCGGAGGAAGGAGGCCGCACUCCCUAGCUCGCCACGCUCUCUGCCGGAACUGACUUGGCAGUUCUCCUCGCUCAAACAGGAGCGGCACCGGAAGUUUCCAUAAACACCGCCGGAGAGCUACAGUGACCCAACUUCAACGUUCCGGCCAGGAGCGGGGCGCCUUCUGCAGUCCUACUGGAAUACGACAUGAUGGAUUCUGGGGCCUAAACUCAGGUCCUCCUGCUUUGCAAUACACACUGAUAUGACCUUUAUAUUCUAAUUCAGCUACCAACAGGUGAACUGCUUCCCAGAAGUACUAAAUGGAUAAUUCCCCAAAUAAACAAUGUGUAAGUUCUGAGUGACAUGAUGAAAUACUUUUGUCUCAUGCCAUUCAUCCAGGAUGUAAAUUGUCUUUUAUCUGUUCUGUCCUCAAUCAGUCACCCUGUCAGCUAUCAGACUGAUUGUUAUCAAAUCACAUAGCAAGUUCCACAUGAGCCAAGGCAACGACACUAUCCUUGGGGCUAGAGCAAUGGCUCUAUCUAGUGGAUUAGACUUUGGAUCCCAGCACCCACAUCAGGAAGCACAAAAUACCUGUAACUAUAACUACAAGAACUCCAAAGCCACUUGUUAGCUUCAGUUAACACCACAGAGAGAGAGAGAGAGACAGAGAGAUGGGGCGGGGGAGAAAGAGAAUAAAAUGUCAAAAAUGCC